GAUGAACGCUGGCGGCGUGCCUAAUACAUGCAAGUCGAGCGAACGGACGAGAAGCUUGCUUCUCUGAUGUUAGCGGCGGACGGGUGAGUAACACGUGGAUAACCUACCUAUAAGACUGGGAUAACUUCGGGAAACCGGAGCUAAUACCGGAUGAUAUUUUGAACCGCAUGGUUCAAAAGUGAAAGACGGUCUUGCUGUCACUUAUCGAUGGAUCCGCGCUGCAUUAGCUAGUUGUUAAGGUAACGGCUUACCAAGGCAACGAUGCAUAGCCGACCUGAGAGGGUGAUCGCCCACACGGGAACGGAGACACGGUCAAGACGCCUAAGGGAGGCAGCAGUAGGGAAUCUGCCGCAAUGGGCGAAAGCCUGACGGAGCAACGCCGCGUGAGUGAUGAAGGUCUUCGGAUCGUAAAACUCUGUUAUUAGGGAAGAACAUAUGUGUAAGUAACUGUGCACAUCUUGACGGUACCUAAUCAGAAAGCCACGGCUAACUACGUG
This 497-nucleotide ribosomal RNA is filed under the name uncultured bacterium. Its description in RNAcentral is "partial 16S ribosomal RNA". It matches the Rfam family "Bacterial small subunit ribosomal RNA", at positions 28 to 507 of the family's 1533-position model. The record is from RNAcentral.